RNAcentral lists this unclassified non-coding RNA (296 nucleotides) under uncultured Coprinellus. RNAcentral's name for it is "partial contains 5.8S ribosomal RNA, internal transcribed spacer 2, and large subunit ribosomal RNA". The stretch from base 1 to 52 matches the Rfam family "5.8S ribosomal RNA", at positions 103 to 154 of the family's 154-position model. Lineage: Eukaryota; Fungi; Basidiomycota; Agaricomycetes; Agaricales; Psathyrellaceae. The record is from RNAcentral.
AACGCACCUUGCGCUCGUUGGUAUUCCGACGAGCAUGCCUGUUUGAGUGUCAUUAAAUUCUCAAUCUUACCAGUUUGGUUAUGAGACUGUGUAAGGCUUGGAUGUGGGGGUUUGUGCAGGCUGCGUUAGUGCGGUCUGCUCCCCUGAAAUGCAUUAGCGAGUUCAAACUGAGCUCCGUCUAUUGGUGUGAUAAUUAUCUACGCCGUGGAGGGUUCUUAGACUUGCUUCUAACCGUCCGCAAGGACAACUUUUGACAAUUUGACCUCAAAUCAGGUAGGACUACCCGCUGAACUUAA